AUUGAACGCUGGCGGCAGGCCUAACACAUGCAAGUCGAGCGAGCGGCGGACGGGUGAGUAAUGCCUGGGAAUUGCCCAGUCGAGGGGGAUAACAGUUGGAAACGACUGCUAAUACCGCAUACGAUGGGAUUGCACAGGUGGGAUUAGCUGGUUGGUGGGGUAAUGGCUCAACAAGGCGACGAUCCCUAGCGGGUCUGAGAGGAUGAUCAGCCACACUGGAACUGAGACACGGUCCAUACUCCUACGGGAGGCAGCAGUGGGGAAUAUUGGACAAUGGGGGAAACCCUGAUGCAGCCAUGCCGCGUGUGUGAAGAAGGCCUUCGGGUUGUAAAGCACUUUCAUCGGGGAGGCGUUACCCGAAGAAGAAGCACCGGCUAACUCCGUGCCAGCAGCCGCGGUAAUAC
Molecule: ribosomal RNA, 404 nt
Filed under: uncultured bacterium
Lineage: Bacteria
Description: partial 16S ribosomal RNA
Rfam family: Bacterial small subunit ribosomal RNA
Source: RNAcentral